Molecule: long non-coding RNA, 832 nt
Filed under: Homo sapiens (human)
Lineage: Eukaryota; Metazoa; Chordata; Mammalia; Primates; Hominidae
Description: non-protein coding CASC15:53
Source: RNAcentral
ACACAUGACCUCUGUCCUUCCAGCUGCCACCAGUUUCUGGGUUGUCGAGUGAUACCCUGAAAGUUUACAGUCAACACUCCUUGUGUGGGGUCAGUCCUAGAAAUGGCGACGCUGCUCUCCGAAGAUAGGAAAGAAAAGGACCUCAUUCCAUUGAGCCAUUGACCGAAAUAUUUUCUCAACAAAGUUGAACUGAGCUGAAACUGUGUGAAUCAUGGCAAUACAGUGAAAGACAGUGAUUUACUGCUUUUGAGGGCGUGCAUGUAUAUGAUUAACGGAUGGAAGUGCAGGACUCCAAGAUUUACUUCCUUCCCUUUCCAGCAGAAUUACCUGAGACGAGUAAAAUCUACUGGUGGAGUCACUCCAUUAUUCUUAUCUGUGGAGAUCUAGAUCUUGAUUUGAAAGUUUCUGAGAAAAUCUUCAGCUCAGACUUGAGGGUCAACUUUACCAGCUGAAGGAUCUGCAUUUACUGCUCAACCACAUCUAAUUUGAUGUCCUCUGCAGAUUUAAAAUGUGUGCCUUCUUUUCCGUCACCAAGUCAUCCCUGGGUUACUACUGAACAUCCUUCUCAAUUCCCCCCGACCCAUGGAUGGCUGUUCUCCAUUGUCUGUUUCACCAGAUGUCCUCAAAACAAACAGACAGAAGAAGGAAGUGGCUAAUGGAGCUGUGGAGUCCAAGUGUGACUGCCAAGAGGAAUCCAGCAAAGCCAAAAAGCCCAAGCAUGUAGCCCUGCCCGAAGCACGCCACACGCAUGGAAAACCCAGAGGAAAUGAGUGAGGAUCAAUGGGAAGAAGAGAGCCAGCCAGGUUCGAUGCCUUCUCCAUCCGUCAGUGAG